RNAcentral lists this ribosomal RNA (253 nucleotides) under uncultured bacterium. Its description in RNAcentral is "partial 16S ribosomal RNA". It matches the Rfam family "Bacterial small subunit ribosomal RNA", at positions 524 to 776 of the family's 1533-position model. The record is from RNAcentral.
UACAGAGGGUGCGAGCGUUAAUCGGAAUUACUGGGCGUAAAGCGCGCGUAGGCGGCUUUGCAAGUCGGGUGUGAAAUCCCCAGGCUUAACCUGGGAACUGCAUUCGAGACUGCAUUGCUAGAGUAUGGGAGAGGGAAGUGGAAUUUCCGGUGUAGCGGUGGAAUGCGUAGAUAUCUGGAGGAAUACCGGUGGCGAAGGCGGCAUCCUGGACCGACAUUGACGCUGAGGAGCGAAAGCUAGGGGAGCAAACGGG